RNAcentral lists this ribosomal RNA (443 nucleotides) under uncultured bacterium. Its description in RNAcentral is "partial 16S ribosomal RNA". It matches the Rfam family "Bacterial small subunit ribosomal RNA", at positions 338 to 795 of the family's 1533-position model. The record is from RNAcentral.
CCUACGGGAGGCAGCAGUGGGGAAUAUUGGGCAAUGGGCGCAAGCCUGACCCAGCAACGCCGCGUGAAGGAAGAAGGCUCUCGGGUGGUAAACUUCUUUUUUUAGGGACGAAGCAUGUGACGGUACCUGAGGAUUAAGCCACGGCUAACUACGUGCCAGCAGCCGCGGUAAUACGUAGGUGGCAAGCGUUAUCCGGAUUUACUGGGUGUAAAGGGCGAGUAGGCGGGAAAGCAAGUCAGAUGUGAAAACCAUAGGCUCAACCUGUGGCCUGCAUUUGAAACUGUUUUUCUUGAGUACGGGAGAGGCAGACGGAAUUCCUAGUGUAGCGGUGAAAUGCGUAGAUAUUAGGAGGAACACCAGUGGCGAAGGCGGUCUGCUGGACAGCAACUGACACUGAGGCGCGAAAGCGUGGGGAGCGAACAGGAUUAGAUACCCCAGUAGUC